UGAACCUCCACCGCAAACCCAUCUUAAUAAACUCAAUACAUUGAGUAACUCGUUCUACUGAUUUGUGCCGAUUACAGGACCCACCAUUGUGAAAUGCUAAAAUAACUAAACUGGUUGUCACUGGAAUCCAGACGCACCCUUCAUCUUUCCAGUCUUGUGUUUAAGAGCUUUUCUGGGAAGCUCCCACCCUACCUGAGCAGAAUGCUCUCCUCGGCUGUUCCCACCUCCUAUAACCUCUGAUCCAGUGCCAGCACUUUAUUUAGUCUACCUCAAUACAAAAAGAAAGCAGCUCGAU
Molecule: non-coding RNA, 295 nt
Organism: Pelobates cultripes (western spadefoot toad)
Lineage: Eukaryota; Metazoa; Chordata; Amphibia; Anura; Pelobatidae
Source: the annotation of a GenBank genome assembly